AUGGACUCGGGAAUGUCUGCACAGUGGAAGGCCUCACCUCUGCCGACUGAACCUGUCGAGCUGUUCAUUGGCAUCCUUUCUGCAGCCAACAAUUUCGCCGAGUGGAUGGCCGGCCGCAAGUCAUGGAUGAUUGCUACAAGGAAAUCAUCUAACAGUGUUGGCCGGUUCUUCGUCGCUCUGGUCAACGAGGAGCUGAAGAAGGAGGCAGAGUUCUUUGGUGACAUUGUUCUGGUCCCUUUCAUGGAUAGCUAUGACCUCAUUGUUUUAAAGACUAUUGCCAUUGCUGAGUAUGGGGAAUGGGAAGAAGAAGUAUACCCACCUUACGCAAACGGACCGGGCUAUGUGAUUUCAUCAGACAUCGCUGAGUACAUCGUAUAUGAGUUUGACAACCAGAAACUGAGAAAGUUUGACAAGACUCGCCAGCCGGUGGAGUAUUCCCACGACGUCAAGUUCUUCCAGGCCGGCUGCUUCGACGGCUACUACACCGCGCACUACUAG
This 498-nucleotide ribosomal RNA is filed under the name Triticum aestivum (bread wheat). RNAcentral describes it as "partial small subunit ribosomal RNA". The record is from RNAcentral. Lineage: Eukaryota; Viridiplantae; Streptophyta; Magnoliopsida; Poales; Poaceae.